AGAGUUUGAUCCUGGCUCAGAGCGAACGCUGGCGGCAGGCCUAACACAUGCAAGUCGAGCGCCCCGCAAGGGGAGCGGCAGACGGGAGAGUAACACGUGGGAACAUACCUUUCAGUUCGGAACAACUCAGGGAAACUUGGGCUAAUACCGAAUACGUCCGUAAGGAGAAAGAUUUAUCGCUGAAAGAUUGGCCCGCGUCU
This 200-nucleotide ribosomal RNA is filed under the name uncultured bacterium. RNAcentral describes it as "partial 16S ribosomal RNA". It matches the Rfam family "Bacterial small subunit ribosomal RNA", at positions 8 to 238 of the family's 1533-position model. The record is from RNAcentral.